AUUGAACGCUGGCGGCAGGCCUAACACAUGCAAGUCGAACGAGUGGCGGACGGGUGAGUAAUUUCUGGGAAACUGCCUGAUGGAGGGGGAUAACUACUGGAAACGGUAGCUACUACCGCAUACCAUCCGAUGUUCCCAGAGGGGAUUAGCUUGUUGGUGGGGUAACGGCUCACCAAGGCGACGAUCCCUAGCUGGUCUGAGAGGAUGACCAGCCACACUGGAACUGAGACACGGCCCAGACUCCUACGGGAGGCAGCAGUGGGGAAUAUUGCACAAUGGGCGCAAGCCUGAUGCAGCAAUGCCGCGUGUAUGAAGAAGGCCUUCGGGUUGUAAAGUACUGUCAGCGGGGAGGCGUUACCCGAAGAAGAAGCACCGGCUAACUCCGUGCCAGCCGCCGCGGUAAUAC
Molecule: ribosomal RNA, 406 nt
Filed under: uncultured bacterium
Lineage: Bacteria
Description: partial 16S ribosomal RNA
Rfam family: Bacterial small subunit ribosomal RNA
Source: RNAcentral